This 838-nucleotide ribosomal RNA is filed under the name uncultured Salinisphaera sp. RNAcentral's name for it is "bacterial SSU rRNA". It matches the Rfam family "Bacterial small subunit ribosomal RNA", at positions 31 to 863 of the family's 1533-position model. Lineage: Bacteria; Pseudomonadati; Pseudomonadota; Gammaproteobacteria; Salinisphaerales; Salinisphaeraceae. The record is from RNAcentral.
GAACGCUGGCGGCAGGCCUAACACAUGCAAGUCGAGCGGAAACGACAUCUUCGGAUGGGCGUCGAGCGGCGGACGGGUGAGUAAUGCGUAGAAAUCUGCCCUUUUGUGGAGGAUAACCUGGGGAAACUCAGGCUAAUACUGCAUAAUCUCUACGGAGCAAAGCGGGGGAUCUUCGGACCUCGCGCAGAAGGAUGAGUCUACGUCUGAUUAGCUAGUUGGUGGGGUAAUGGCCUACCAAGGCGACGAUCAGUAGCUGGUCUGAGAGGAUGAUCAGCCACACCGGGACUGAGACACGGCCCGGACUCCUACGGGAGGCAGCAGUGGGGAAUAUUGGACAAUGGGCGAAAGCCUGAUCCAGCCAUGCCGCGUGUGUGAAGAAGGCCUUAGGGUUGUAAAGCACUUUAAGCAGGAAAGAAAAGCGCCGGAUUAAUAAUCCGAGCGUGUUGACGGUACCUGCAGAAUAAGCACCGGCUAACUCCGUGCCAGCAGCCGCGGUAAUACGGAGGGUGCAAGCGUUAAUCGGAAUUACUGGGCGUAAAGCGUGCGUAGGCGGUCGCGUGUGUCGGAUGUGAAAGCCCCGGGCUCAACCUGGGAAUUGCAUUCGAAACUGCGUGACUAGAAUAUGGUAGAGGAAGAUGGAAUUCCACGUGUAGCGGUGAAAUGCGUAGAUAUGUGGAGGAACACCAAUGGCGAAGGCAAUCUUCUGGGCCAAUAUUGACGCUGAGGUACGAAAGCGUGGGUAGCAAACAGGAUUAGAUACCCUGGUAGUCCACGCCGUAAACGAUGAGAACUAGACGUUGGUUGACAUAGUCGAUCAGUGUCGCAGCAAACGCGUUAA